AUCAGCGGUGAUAGCACGCUGAAUGCAAUGGUUCCCAAUGGAACAUUAAAGUUAAAAAACGUUGCGUGUGGUUAGUAUCCGGAUGGGUGACCAUCUGGUAAAGUGGUAGUUUAGCAAGAU
RNAcentral lists this ribosomal RNA (120 nucleotides) under Diaphorina citri (Asian citrus psyllid). Lineage: Eukaryota; Metazoa; Arthropoda; Insecta; Hemiptera; Psyllidae. The record is from RNAcentral.